CUCUACGGCCAUGCCACCCUGAACACUCCUGAUCUCGUCUGAUCUUGGAAGCUAAGCAAGGUUGGGCCUGGUUAGUACUUAGAUGGGAGACCACCUAGGAAGACCAGGUGCUGUAGGCG
This 119-nucleotide ribosomal RNA is filed under the name Pteropus alecto (black flying fox). The record is from RNAcentral. Lineage: Eukaryota; Metazoa; Chordata; Mammalia; Chiroptera; Pteropodidae.